UAGGGAAUCUUCCGCAAUGGACGCAAGUCUGACGGAGCAACGCCGCGUGAGUGAAGAAGGAUUUCGGUUCGUAAAACUCUGUUGUUAGAGAAGAACAGCGCAUAGAGUAACUGUUAUGCGUGUGACGGUAUCUAACCAGAAAGCCACGGCUAACUACGUGCCAGCAGCCGCGGUAAUACGUAGGUGGCAAGCGUUGUCCGGAUUUAUUGGGCGUAAAGCGAGCGCAGGCGGUUAAUUAAGUCUGAUGUGAAAGCCCCCGGCUCAACCGGGGAGGGUCAUUGGAAACUGGUUGACUUGAGUGCAGAAGUGGAGAGUGGAAUUCCAUGUGUAGCGGUGAAAUGCGUAGAUAUAUGGAGGAACACCAGUGGCGAAGGCGACUCUCUGGUCUGUAACUGACGCUGAGGUUCGAAAGCGUGGGUAGCAAACAGG
This 429-nucleotide ribosomal RNA is filed under the name Bacteroidota bacterium. RNAcentral's name for it is "Bacteroidetes bacterium partial 16S ribosomal RNA". It matches the Rfam family "Bacterial small subunit ribosomal RNA", at positions 355 to 776 of the family's 1533-position model. Lineage: Bacteria; Pseudomonadati; Bacteroidota. The record is from RNAcentral.